Molecule: transfer RNA, 72 nt
Filed under: Fasciola gigantica
Lineage: Eukaryota; Metazoa; Platyhelminthes; Trematoda; Plagiorchiida; Fasciolidae
Description: tRNA-Thr
Source: RNAcentral
GCCGCGAUAGCUCAGCUGGUAGAUCAUCUGCCCGGUAUGCGGAGGUUCGCCGGUUCGUUCCGACUCGCGGCG